RNAcentral lists this ribosomal RNA (164 nucleotides) under Diabelia serrata. Its description in RNAcentral is "5.8S ribosomal RNA". It matches the Rfam family "5.8S ribosomal RNA". Rfam says of the family: 5.8S ribosomal RNA (5.8S rRNA) is a component of the large subunit of the eukaryotic ribosome. It is transcribed by RNA polymerase I as part of the 45S precursor that also contains 18S and 28S rRNA. The record is from RNAcentral. Lineage: Eukaryota; Viridiplantae; Streptophyta; Magnoliopsida; Dipsacales; Caprifoliaceae.
CAAACGACUCUCGGCAACGGAUAUCUCGGCUCUCACAUUGAUGAAGAAAGUAGCGAAAUGCGAUACUUGGUGUGAAUUGCAGAAUCUCGUGAACCAUCGAGUCUUUGAACGCAAGUUGCGCCCGAAGCCAUUAGGCCGAGGGUACGUCUGCCUAGGCGUCACGC